GUUAGCAGCACUCUAAGGGGUUGGGACUGAAGGGACAGACAGGAGGGAAAGAAGGAAGAUUUGGGAUGAGUCACUUUGGGAGCAGAGCCUAGGGAGGGAGCGAAGUGUAAAAAAUGCCUAGACGUAAGGCACCACAGACUAUUUGCCCAUCUUAUGACAAAAAUUAUUUAGGUCUUGUAGGAUGGAGAAAUCAAAAGUGCCAUUCUCUGGCCAUUUAGAGCCAUUAUCAAGUUUGUACUGGGGCCGAGUGGUGUUGCAGAAGAAAAUAAGACACUUAGGUUUUAGAUCAGGUGAGAGUUGAGGAGGUUUCAAGUUUUUAAGAACACAGGCUAAGGGGGAAGAAGGAGUAAUGGAGGGCAGAAGCUGCCCAUAGUAAAAAGGUGAGAUGGAUUUCUUGAAGACAGCAUACCCGUGGGUCUUGUCACUCUGUGUCUUUCAAUUGGGACAUUUAGCCUAUUUACAUUCAAGGUU
RNAcentral lists this long non-coding RNA (471 nucleotides) under Homo sapiens (human). RNAcentral describes it as "HSALNT0030596". The record is from RNAcentral. Lineage: Eukaryota; Metazoa; Chordata; Mammalia; Primates; Hominidae.